This 1910-nucleotide long non-coding RNA is filed under the name Homo sapiens (human). RNAcentral describes it as "HSALNT0250534". The record is from RNAcentral. Lineage: Eukaryota; Metazoa; Chordata; Mammalia; Primates; Hominidae.
CCACCAGCCAGCCUUUUCCUCUUGCAAGUUCCCUCUCUCUCACUAGAGAGAGAGAGCUGUUUUUCUUUCUCUUUCUUUUGUCUAUUAAACCCCUGCUCCUAAACUCGUGUGUGUCCGUGUCCUAAACUCUCCUGGCACCAGAAGAACCCUGAUUAUUUACCCAGACAACUGUAGCUGCUUCAAAGAACUACCUACAGAAUCAACUGGGAACAGAGCCACACCCUUUUUUCCCCCAAACACAAAACCUUUGAUUCUUUUCAGAAUAAAAUUUGGCAAAGCAAAGAGUGAAAAAGCUUGAGAAAAGCACAGCCAAUCUAGUUUAAGUGCAAAUAGAAUCAAAAGUUCCUGAUAUAGAAUAAGCAAAUGAUGGAAGAAGCCAAGUUUCCUGAGUGGCCACUAGGAAAACUCUGUCUUCUUUAUCAAAACUAUGAGGUAUGUGUCCUCCAAAUUCUUAUGUUGGAACUUCAGCCCCAAAGUGAUUGUAUUAGAAGGUGAAACAUUUAAGAGAUGAUUAAGUCAUAAGGGCUCUGACCUUCUGAGUGGGAUUAAUGUUCUUAUAAAAGGGCUGGCGAGAACUAGCUAUGCCUUUUUGCCCUUCUGCCAUGUGAGGACACAGCAACAAGGAGCUGUCUAAAAAGCUGAGACGGAGCCUUCACCAGACACUGAAUCUGCCGGCGACUUGAUCUUGGAUUUCCCAGCCUCAAGAACUGUGAAAAUAAACUUCUGUUGCUUAUAAAUUACUCCGUCUGUGGUAUGUUGUUAUAGCAGCAGGGAUGGACUAAGAAACUCUCUCUUUAUAUAAACAAUUACUUGUGGAGAAGUCUGUAUAAUUACAGAGUAAAAUCUUUAAAAUCUCAUGGGUUUAUAAGUAGCCUUACCUGCUGUCUUAAAUUCAAGAUUCCCACAUUUGCACCUCUUUAGUAUAUAGAAUAUAGACUAUAAAAAUAGUCUUGGCUAUCUAAGGCUAGUGGCCAACUGUCUAUUGCAGAGAAAGAGUGAGAAAUUUAAUAUAAAUAUUCAUUCUUACAUAUCCACUUCCUAGGCUAAUUAUCUAUUUAAGAAACUUUGCCUUAUUGCUACACACAUACAUUUAUAAAUAAAAGUACUUCUGCAUUUUUCAAAUAUAAAUUAGUUUUUUAAGACUUGCGUGCAUACCUAAAAGCAUAUGCACCAGAUAUGUCCAUAUAAGCACAAUUCCAAUCAAAGAAAAAGACUGUACUUAAACCAACAGUAAGGCCUUAAAUCAACUAGGAAAUCCAAUUCAAUCAUAUUUCAGGGUUUAUCAUUUCAGUCAUACAAACUUUAUCCUGGACAAAAACUGAUGUGGGAUGUGUGUGUGUGUAGUUCUAAAUAUUGUAAGCAAAUUUAUUUAAAUGAGCUCAUCUGGAAAUACUGAGUUCUAUGUAAUACAUUUCUUUGUAUUGAACACAAUUGAUUUCUGUGUGUCAAAACAAUGAAAGUGGGUCAUUAAAGCAAUUAUUGUUACUGUGUAAUUUUACUACAUAAAUUACCAAAUAAAUAAUAUUAUUGCAGAAAAACACAAGCUUACUAUCUUUUUACUUAUUUUCAAGUGAAAAGAUGGAAGAGCUAUUCCUAUGUCCUGAAAAGUCCAUAUAUUAGUUGAACAUGCUGAUAUCUGAUUCAUGAAAUCUCCAUUGCUUCAGUACCAUAGAUGUGAAAUGAUUUUAAAGCAUAUUCACAUUUGUCAUCCUAUGUUUUUAUAUUUAAUAAUUUUACUCUAAUUUUACAGUUACUGAAACUGUUACAUAGCUGUGCUGUUCUAUAUCUGGACAUGCUGUGUAUAACAGUAUGUUAUUUUUACAGGUACCGGACUUUAUUCUCUAGAUCUUUUCAGGGGCAUGCAUAGCUCUUAAAGCACCCAUGCUCAUAUUCAAAUCUUCUAAUCUUUU